AAGACAGCUGCCAAAUAUGGCCUUUCCGCCCAGCCCCGCCUGGUGGAUAUCAUUGCUGCCGUUCCUCCUCAGUAUCGCAAGGUCUUGAUUCCCAAGUUAAAGGCGAAACCCAUCAGAACUGCUAGUGGGAUUGCUGUCGUGGCUGUGAUGUGCAAACCCCACAGAUGUCCACACAUCAGUUUUACAGGAAAUAUAUGUGUAUACUGCCCUGGUGGACCUGAUUCUGAUUUUGAGUAUUCCACCCAGUCUUACACUGGCUAUGAGCCAACCUCUAUGAGAGCUAUCCGUGCCAGAUAUGACCCUUUCCUACAGACAAGACACCGAAUAGAACAGAAAGCAGACUUGAAGUGCCUCCUGUGCCUAGAAUCAUCCAUCAAUUUUGGACUGCUGUCUUGAUUUUUCUUUCUAAUCUAUUCUUUUUUUCUUCCGUUACAUCAAAUCCUUAUUAUGUUACAUAAUCAUUCAUGUAUCAUUGUUGACCAUAAAUGCCACCUUUUUGUCCUCUAGGCUUACCACCAAGUCUGACAUAAAAUACAUGAUCAAUAAAUACUUACUGUUUUGCG
This 563-nucleotide small RNA is filed under the name Pan troglodytes (chimpanzee). RNAcentral's name for it is "processed transcript". Lineage: Eukaryota; Metazoa; Chordata; Mammalia; Primates; Hominidae. The record is from RNAcentral.